RNAcentral lists this long non-coding RNA (231 nucleotides) under Elaeis guineensis (African oil palm). Its description in RNAcentral is "long non-coding RNA (EGUI_LNC050895)". The record is from RNAcentral. Lineage: Eukaryota; Viridiplantae; Streptophyta; Magnoliopsida; Arecales; Arecaceae.
UCACUGGCAGCUGCUGCUAUUACUGAGUUUAUUGUUGCUGGAGGCUUUUGACCGCCUCCAUCAAAAUGAUCAUCUGCUGCAUGAGUACAGUGAUCUGAGCAUCUGUGAUGACCACAGAAUACGAAAAACUAGGCUAUGCUAUUGGAGGUGGGGGAGGAGCAUCUUUCCAAUGGGAAGAGUGCCUCGUCGAUCCAGUCGAGUGCUGGACUCUUGUUUUCGGCAUGAUUGACC